AUUGAACGCUGGCGGCAUGCUUUACACAUGCAAGUCGAACGGUAACAGGCCGCAAGGUGCUGACGAGUGGCGCACGGGUGAGUAAUGCAUCGGAACGUGCCCAGUCGUGGGGGAUAACUACUCGAAAGAGUAGCUAAUACCGCAUACGAUCUAUGGAUGAAAGCGGGGGACCGUAAGGCCUCGCGCGAUUGGAGCGGCCGAUGUCAGAUUAGGUAGUUGGUGGGGUAAAGGCUCACCAAGCCAACGAUCUGUAGCUGGUCUGAGAGGACGACCAGCCACACUGGGACUGAGACACGGCCCAGACUCCUACGGGAGGCAGCAGUGGGGAAUUUUGGACAAUGGGCGCAAGCCUGAUCCAGCAAUGCCGCGUGCAGGAAGAAGGCCUUCGGGUUGUAAACUGCUUUUGCACGGAACGAAACGGCUCUGGUUAAUACCCGGGGCUAAUGACGGUACCGUAAGAAUAAGCACCGGCUAACUACGUG
RNAcentral lists this ribosomal RNA (482 nucleotides) under uncultured bacterium. Its description in RNAcentral is "partial 16S ribosomal RNA". It matches the Rfam family "Bacterial small subunit ribosomal RNA", at positions 30 to 507 of the family's 1533-position model. The record is from RNAcentral.